ACGAGGACAAGGACAAGGAGGAGGAAGCGGGAGAAGAAACGAAGGAGAAAAAGAAGAAGAAGAAGAAGAAGGUUAAGAAGGUGAAGGAAGGGUCGGAUGCAGAGGAAGGGUCAGGCUCCGAGGAGGAAGAAGAAGAGGAUGAGGAUGAGGAAGAAGAGGACGAGGAGAAGGAAGGAAA
Long non-coding RNA from Priapulus caudatus, 178 nucleotides. RefSeq lists it as uncharacterized. The record is from RefSeq and is a predicted model, not a curated record. The transcript has 2 exons. Lineage: Eukaryota; Metazoa; Priapulida; Priapulimorpha; Priapulimorphida; Priapulidae.